This 253-nucleotide ribosomal RNA is filed under the name uncultured bacterium. RNAcentral's name for it is "partial 16S ribosomal RNA". It matches the Rfam family "Bacterial small subunit ribosomal RNA", at positions 524 to 776 of the family's 1533-position model. The record is from RNAcentral.
UACGUAGGCAGCAAGCGUUGUUCGGAAUUACUGGGCGUAAAGAGUGUGUAGGCGGUGCUCUAAGUUCGGUGUGAAAUCUCCCGGCUUAACUGGGAGGGUGCGCCGGAAACUGGAGUGCUCGAGCGUGGGAGAGGAAAGCGGAAUUCCUGGUGUAGCGGUGAAAUGCGUAGAUAUCAGGAGGAACACCUGCGGUGUAGACGGCUUACUGGACGGUAACUGACGCUGAGGCACGAAAGCGUGGGUAGCAAACAGG